Molecule: ribosomal RNA, 1340 nt
Filed under: Marinomonas sp. GOBB3-320
Lineage: Bacteria; Pseudomonadati; Pseudomonadota; Gammaproteobacteria; Oceanospirillales; Oceanospirillaceae
Description: 16S ribosomal RNA
Rfam family: Bacterial small subunit ribosomal RNA
Source: RNAcentral
GACGAGCGGCGGACGGGUGAGUAACGCGUAGGAAUCUACCUAGUAGAGGGGGACAACAUGUGGAAACGCAUGCUAAUACCGCAUACGCCCUAAGGGGGAAAGGAGGGGACUCUUCGGAGCCUUCCGCUAUUAGAUGAGCCUGCGUGAGAUUAGCUAGUUGGUAGGGUAAAGGCCUACCAAGGCGACGAUCUCUAACUGGUCUGAGAGGAUGACCAGUCACACUGGGACUGAGACACGGCCCAGACUCCUACGGGAGGCAGCAGUGGGGAAUAUUGGACAAUGGGCGCAAGCCUGAUCCAGCCAUGCCGCGUGUGUGAAGAAGGCCUUAGGGUUGUAAAGCACUUUCAGGGGUGAGGAAGGGUAGCUAGUUAAUACCUAGUUAUCUUGACGUUAGCCCCAGAAGAAGCACCGGCUAACUCUGUGCCAGCAGCCGCGGUAAUACAGAGGGUGCAAGCGUUAAUCGGAAUUACUGGGCGUAAAGCGCGCGUAGGUGGUUUGUUAAGUCGGAUGUGAAAUCCCAGGGCUCAACCUUGGAAUGGCACCCGAUACUGGCAGGCUAGAGUAUGGUAGAAGGGUGUGGAAUUUCCUGUGUAGCGGUGAAAUGCGUAGAUAUAGGAAGGAACUCAGUGGCGAAGGCGACCCCUGGGACUAAUACUGACCUGAGGUGCGAAAGCCGUGGGGAGCAAACAGGAUUAGAUACCCUGGUAGUCCACGCCGUAAACAAUUUCUAACUAGCCGUUGGGUUGUAAUGACUUAGUGGCCGCAACCUAAGCAAUAAGUAGACCGCCUGGGGAGUCCGCCCGCAAGGUUAAAACUCAAAUGAAUUGACGGGGGCCCGCACAAGCGGUGAGCAUGUGGUUUAAUUCGACGCAACGCGAAGAACCUUACCUACUCUUGACAUCCACAGAAUCCGGCAGAGAUGCUGGAGUGCCUUCGGGAACUGUGAGACAGGUGCUGCAUGGCUGUCGUCAGCUCGUGUUGUGAAAUGUUGGGUUAAGUCCCGUAACGAGCGCAACCCUUAUCCUUACUUGCUAGCGGGUAAUGCCGAGAACUUUAAGGAGACUGCCGGUGACAAACCGGAGGAAGGUGGGGACGACGUCAAGUCAUCAUGGCCCUUACGAGUAGGGCUACACACGUGCUACAAUGGCGUAUACAGAGGGCUGCGAGCUAGCGAUAGUGAGCGAAUCCCAGAAAGUACGUCGUAGUCCGGAUUGGAGUCUGCAACUCGACUCCAUGAAGUCGGAAUCGCUAGUAAUCGUGAAUCAGAAUGUCACGGUGAAUACGUUCCCGGGCCUUGUACACACAGCCCGUCACACCAUGGGAGUUGAUUGCUCCAGAAG